GUUACAGCAUAUAAAUCGGUAAUUCUCAGCUAGUAGGCACAAAACAGGACAAAUGGCCUAGUUUAUGUUCUCAAAUGUAUCAUGUUAACAAUACUAAACGCAAAUGACUGUUGCCCGGAGUCGAGUUUUGAUAUCUUCAUCACAAAAUGAAUGAAUUACUG
This is a long non-coding RNA of Ipomoea nil (Japanese morning glory), 161 nucleotides long. RefSeq lists it as uncharacterized. Lineage: Eukaryota; Viridiplantae; Streptophyta; Magnoliopsida; Solanales; Convolvulaceae. The record is from RefSeq and is a predicted model, not a curated record. The transcript is spliced from 3 exons.